Molecule: ribosomal RNA, 253 nt
Filed under: uncultured bacterium
Lineage: Bacteria
Description: partial 16S ribosomal RNA
Rfam family: Bacterial small subunit ribosomal RNA
Source: RNAcentral
GACGAACCAUCCAAACGUUAUUCGGAAUCACUGGGCUUAAAGGGUGCGUAGGCGGUGCGGUAAGUUGGAUGUGAAAUCCCUCAGCUUAACUGAGGAACUGCGUUCAAAACUACCGUGCUAGAGGGAGAUAGAGGUGAGCGGAACUUAGGGUGGAGCGGUGAAAUGCGUUGAUAUCCUAAGGAACACCGGUGGCGAAAGCGGCUCACUGGAUCUUUUCUGACGCUGAGGCACGAAAGCUAGGGGAGCAAACGGG